Molecule: ribosomal RNA, 494 nt
Filed under: uncultured bacterium
Lineage: Bacteria
Description: bacterial SSU rRNA
Rfam family: Bacterial small subunit ribosomal RNA
Source: RNAcentral
AAAGGAAUUGACGGGGGCCCGCACAAGCAGCGGAGCAUGUGGUUUAAUUCGAAGCAACGCGAAGAACCUUACCAGGUCUUGACAUCCAGUAAAAGCUGUAGAGAUACAGUGUGCUUUUGGGCAUACUGAGACAGGUGGUGCAUGGUUGUCGUCAGCUCGUGUCGUGAGAUGUUGGGUUAAGUCCCGCAACGAGCGCAACCCCUAUUAUUAGUUACUAACAAGUGAAGUUGAGGACUCUAAUGAGACCGCCGGGGACAACUCGGAGGAAGGUGGGGACGACGUCAAAUCAUCAUGCCCCUUAUGACCUGGGCUACACACGUGCUACAAUGGCCACUACAGAGAGAAGCGAGAACGCGAGUUGGAGCGAAUCUCAAAAAAGUGGUCUCAGUUCGGAUUGUAGGCUGCAACCCGCCUACAUGAAGCCGGAGUUGCUAGUAAUCGCGGAUCAGCACGCCGCGGUGAAUACGUUCCCGGGCCUUGUACACACCGCCCGU